GACGAACGCUGGCGGCGUGCCUAAUACAUGCAAGUCGAGCGAAGUUUUUCUGGUGCUUGCACUAGAAAAACUUAGCGGCGAACGGGUGAGUAACACGUAAAGAACCUGCCUCAUAGACUGGGACAACUAUUGGAAACGAUAGCUAAUACCGGAUAACAGUAUUUCUCGCAUGAGAGAUAUUUAAAAGUUGGUUAUGCUAACACUAUGAGAUGGCUUUGCGGUGCAUUAGCUAGUUGGUGGGGUAAAGACCUACCAAGGCGACGAUGCAUAGCCGACCUGAGAGGGUGAUCGGCCACACUGGGACUGAGACACGGCCCAGACUCCUACGGGAGGCAGCAGUAGGGAAUCUUCCGCAAUGGGCGAAAGCCUGACGGAGCAACGCCGCGUGAGUGAAGAAGGAUUUCGGUUCGUAAAGCUCUGUUGUUAGGGAAGAAUGGAUAUGUAGUAACUAUACAUAUAAGAGACGGUACCUAACCAGAAAGCCCGGCUA
Molecule: ribosomal RNA, 490 nt
Filed under: Gemella morbillorum
Lineage: Bacteria; Bacillati; Bacillota; Bacilli; Caryophanales; Gemellaceae
Description: bacterial SSU rRNA
Rfam family: Bacterial small subunit ribosomal RNA
Source: RNAcentral